Molecule: ribosomal RNA, 494 nt
Filed under: uncultured bacterium
Lineage: Bacteria
Description: partial 16S ribosomal RNA
Rfam family: Bacterial small subunit ribosomal RNA
Source: RNAcentral
ACGCACGCUGGCGGCGUGCCUAAUCCCUGCACGUAGAACGCUGAAGGAGGAGCUUGCUCUUCUGGAUGAGUUGCGAACGGGUGAGUAACGCGUAGGUAACCUGCCUGGUAGCGGGGGAUAACUAUUGGAAACGAUAGCUAAUACCGCAUAACAGUAGAUGUUGCAUGACAUUUACUUAAAAGGUGCAAUUGCAUCACUACCAGAUGGACCUGCGUUGUAUUAGCUAGUUGGUGGGGUAACGGCUCACCAAGGCGACGAUACAUAGCCGACCUGAGAGGGUGAUCGGCCACACUGGGACUGAGACACGGCCCAGACUCCUACGGGAGGCAGCAGUAGGGAAUCUUCGGCAAUGGACGGAAGUCUGACCGAGCAACGCCGCGUGAGUGAAGAAGGUUUUCGGAUCGUAAAGCUCUGUUGUAAGAGAAGAACGAGUGUGAGAGUGGAAAGUUCACACUGUGACGGUAUCUUACCAGAAAGGGACGGCUAACUACGUG